UCGAAACCUGCCCAGCAGAGCGACCCGUGAACAUCUUCAACCUCGUGGGUGCUGUGGCGUUGCUCGGUGCCUCGUGUGCUGGCUCGCCCCAUCUCCCAGGCAGGGGAGCGUCCACUUGUGGGCUGUUCCCCGGCUAACCAACGAACCCCGGCGCGUAAAUGCGUCAAGGAAUAUAAACUUUAUGUGUGUGCUCUCCUAUCGCCCGGUUAGCCGGGCGUUGGAGUGGUGCCAUGUCUUAACAAUA
This 244-nucleotide ribosomal RNA is filed under the name Silene nivalis. The record is from RNAcentral. Lineage: Eukaryota; Viridiplantae; Streptophyta; Magnoliopsida; Caryophyllales; Caryophyllaceae.